This 27-nucleotide non-coding RNA is filed under the name Cricetulus griseus (Chinese hamster). The record is from RNAcentral. Lineage: Eukaryota; Metazoa; Chordata; Mammalia; Rodentia; Cricetidae.
AACAAGGUAGUAUGACUAAAGUAAAGU